GCCUACGAUAUCAUUGCUCAGUUCUCGUAAGUUUUUCUUUCUUGAAAGUUUUUCUUUCUUGAAACAUAAAAGAAUCCACAAUUUUGGAAGAACAAAAACGACACAACGAAAUAAAAAAAUCUGAGUCAAACAAUGAUCACCGCAAAAGGUUAUGAAUAGUGAACGACGAUUCUGUCGCCGUGGUGGAGGAAGGCGGUGAACGAGGCAGCCUAGAGGAGAAAUUGUAACGUGGAAAACGAUUAACAUUUUGAUCCUCUUCUCCCCUGUCAAAGUUAAGCGCAUAGCUCGACGGAUCAUAAUGAAAAUCAGUCGUGUGGCGUCUAAUGUGCUUACCGUGUCCGCCUUCCCCGAUCCGGUGGAUCAGAUUUUUGCAUUUUUCGUGUGAUUUGGACAAGGUUCGAGUGAGUCUAGGAGAUUUGGUCUUGAAUUAAUUGCUUUUGGGAAAUAAAUUAAUUGUUAGAAUUUUUUAAAAAAUAUUCAUUUGUAUUUGAAAUUAAAAAAAAAUAUUAAAAUAUAUCCAAUAUAUUAAAUUAGACUCAUAUUUUGGACUUCAUAUAUUAUAUUAUAAUUUUGAACUAUCAAACACGAGUUCAUCUAAAUCAUCUAAAUUUUAUUAUAAAAAAAUAUUUAUAAAAGAUCUCAAACCAUUUAAAACUGGAUGGAAAAUUAAGAUUAGGAUUAGUAGUUCAAGAUGAAUAAUUUAGAGUUAGAGUUGGUAUCGACUUCUGGCUGACAUUUCAUAUACGAGGACUUAUAUUCGGUUUUCAGAUCCCAAUGACAACUUACGGUACUUCUAGAAAAUAGAAAAGACGAACUCAAACAAUCUAUAGAACAAAAUAAAUGUUUAAAAUAAAAUUUAGCCACGCAUGACACUGAUUCUAUUCUAGUUUCCUUGUUGAAUGAGAUAUUCAGAUUUUAUGUUUGUUUUCUACUUUCACUAACCUCACUUGAGCAUAACUAAGCAUUCAUUGCAUUGCUCACAUAUAGUAAUCCUCCACAAUCAUGCUUGUACUCUCAACCAUUAUUAUUUAAUCCUACUCAAGUUUUUCAUCAGCUGGUAGCUUAAGAUUAAGAGCUUAUGGGGGUUCUGACUUGUUCUCUGGAAUUAACCUUCUAGUGGAAGACGCAUGGUUGUAAAUUUGAAAUAAUCUAUCUUCAAAGAAUGUAAUUGUCUUUUUACAAAAAAAAAAAGAAUGUAAUUGUCAUAUGUAACAACUUUAGUGAAGAAAAAAACAACUUUAGUGAAGAAAAAAAAUAUAGUGAAUAUCCAGCCAUAUACGCAUUUUUAAAACUACUUAUAAAUAUAGAAAAUACUUGAGAUUAUCCAUAAAUAAAGUAAGUUUGUUUUUCUUUUUUGCUAAAUGAUAAAUAAAGUAAGUUACAAAAAAAAGAAUGUAAUUGUCAAAAAAGUGGGACGAAAACCACCAACGGGAAAUGACUGUUUGCGGUUUGAGUAAUCGUGUUCAGGGUCUUUCUGUACAGUUUCUGCGUUUUCAAAGAAGCCAAAGAACAGUAGAGCUUGGGAACAAAAAAAAUCGUUGCUAUGUGGGCAACGGAAAGUAAAGGAACACAUGUUCCCUUAUUACAAAGUUUGAGUUGCGGAGCUGAUUAGAACAUGUUGCUAACCGGAGCAGGUCUCCUGUUCAAAACAGACUACGAACGUACACGUACUGAUAAGCCGCGUGAAGUUCUCCAUACCAUUAGAUUAUGAGUUAUUACUACAAAGACGUUUUUACUCAAGUUACAUAAGAGAGAGAUAAGAUAUCAAUCAAAAGUUUUUGAAACCCGCUGAAACUGAUAAAAAUAAAAUACGUUAUGUACAAAUUUGUUUUUCUUAGGCCUACGAUAUCAUUGCUCAGUUCUCGUAAGUUUUUCUUUCUUGAAAGUUUUUCUUUCUUGAAACAUAAAAGAAUCCACAAUUUUGGAAGAACAAAAACGACACAACGAAAUAAAAAAAUCUGAGUCAAACAAUGAUCACCGCAAAAGGUUAUGAAUAGUGAACGACGAUUCUGUCGCCGUGGUGGAGGAAGGCGGUGAACGAGGCAGCCUAGAGGAGAAAUUGUAACGUGGAAAACGAUUAACAUUUUGAUCCUCUUCUCCCCUGUC
This 2106-nucleotide long non-coding RNA is filed under the name Brassica napus (rape). RNAcentral describes it as "long non-coding RNA (BNAP_LNC021699)". The record is from RNAcentral. Lineage: Eukaryota; Viridiplantae; Streptophyta; Magnoliopsida; Brassicales; Brassicaceae.